UCUGGGAUUAGAUACCCUGUUAUUUAAAAUGUUGUAUUAUAAAACUAAGGUAGUAUUAGUUAUGUUCUUUAAACUUAAAAAAUUUGGCGGUAUUUUAGUCUAUUCAGAGGAACCUGUUUUGUAAUCGAUAUUCCACGAUGGACCUUACUUAAUUUUGUAAUCAGUUUAUAUACCGUUGUUAUUAGAAUAUUUUGUAAAAAUGAUAAUUUUCAUAAAUUUUAUAAAAAAGUAUAUCAAAUCAAGGUGUAGCUUAUAUUUAAGUAUUAAUGGGUUACAAUAAAAUUAUUUAUUGCGGAUAUAAGUUUGAAAAUAUGUAUUAAAGAUGGAUUUGAUAGUAAAAUUAUAAAGAUUAAUAAUUUGAUUUUAGCUCUAAAAUAUGUACAAAUCGCCCGUCA
This 395-nucleotide ribosomal RNA is filed under the name Stevenia sp. n. 8b AT-2015. RNAcentral's name for it is "partial small subunit ribosomal RNA". Lineage: Eukaryota; Metazoa; Arthropoda; Insecta; Diptera; Rhinophoridae. The record is from RNAcentral.